GCUGGGCAUAGUGGCAUAUGCCUGCAAUCCCGGCAGCUUGGGAGGCUGAGGCAGGAGGAUGGCGAGUGCAAAGCCAGUCUCAGCAACUUAGUGAGGCCUAAGCAAUUUAGCAAGACUCUGUCUCUA
This 126-nucleotide small RNA is filed under the name Marmota monax (woodchuck). Lineage: Eukaryota; Metazoa; Chordata; Mammalia; Rodentia; Sciuridae. The record is from RNAcentral.